GAUGAACGCUGGCGGCGUGCCUAAUACAUGCAAGUCGAGCGAACAGAUGAGGAGCUUGCUCCUCUGACGUUAGCGGCGGACGGGUGAGUAACACGUGGAUAACCUACCUAUAAGACUGGGAUAACUUCGGGAAACCGGCGCUAAUACCGGAUAAUAUAUUGAACCGCAUGGUUCAAUAGUGAAAGACGGUUUUGCUGUCACUAAUAGAUGGAUCCGCGCCGCAUUGGCUAGUUGGGAAGGUAACGGCUUACCAAGGCAACGAUGCGUAGCCGAACUGAGAGGGUGAUCGGCCACAUGGGAACUGGAACACCGUCCAGACUCCUGCGGGACGCAGCAGAAGGGAAUCUUCCGCAGUAGGCGAAAGCAUGACGGAGCAACGCCACGUGUGUGAUGAAAGUCUUCGGAUCGUAAAGCUCUGUUAUUAGGUAAAAACAAAUGUGUAAUUAACUAUGCACGUCGUGACGGUACCGAAUCAGAAAGCCCCGGCUAACUACGUG
This 497-nucleotide ribosomal RNA is filed under the name uncultured bacterium. RNAcentral describes it as "partial 16S ribosomal RNA". It matches the Rfam family "Bacterial small subunit ribosomal RNA", at positions 28 to 507 of the family's 1533-position model. The record is from RNAcentral.